RNAcentral lists this ribosomal RNA (266 nucleotides) under Salmonella enterica subsp. enterica. Its description in RNAcentral is "partial 23S ribosomal RNA". It matches the Rfam family "Bacterial large subunit ribosomal RNA", at positions 456 to 722 of the family's 2925-position model. Lineage: Bacteria; Pseudomonadati; Pseudomonadota; Gammaproteobacteria; Enterobacterales; Enterobacteriaceae. The record is from RNAcentral. RNAcentral also lists the same sequence under 2 other names.
UCCUCCAAGGCUAAAUACUCCUGACUGACCGAUAGUGAACCAGUACCGUGAGGGAAAGGCGAAAAGAACCCCGGCGAGGGGAGUGAAAAAGAACCUGAAACCGUGUACGUACAAGCAGUGGGAGCACAGGUUUACCUGUGUGACUGCGUACCUUUUGUAUAAUGGGUCAGCGACUUAUAUUCUGUAGCAAGGUUAACCGUAUAGGGGAGCCGGAGGGAAACCGAGUCUUAAUUGGGCGUUAAGUUGCAGGGUAUAGACCCGAAACC